This 776-nucleotide ribosomal RNA is filed under the name uncultured Neocallimastigales. RNAcentral's name for it is "partial large subunit ribosomal RNA". It matches the Rfam family "Eukaryotic large subunit ribosomal RNA", at positions 24 to 635 of the family's 3401-position model. The record is from RNAcentral. Lineage: Eukaryota; Fungi; Neocallimastigomycota; Neocallimastigomycetes; Neocallimastigales.
UAUCUCUGUAGAGUCUGCAUAUCAAUAAGCGGAGGAAAAGAAACUAACUAAGGAUUCCCUCAGUAACGGCGAGUGAAGCGGGAAGAGCUCAAAUUUGAAAUCUUCAAGGUUCUACCUUGACGAAUUGUAGUUUAAAGAAGUGUUUUCUGUUGGAGUUUUGGUAAAAGUUCUUUGGAAUAGGACAUCAUAGAGGGUGAGAAUCCCGUAUUUGACCAUUAUUUCCAGCUUUGUGAUACACUUUCAAAGAGUCGGAUUGUUUGGGAAUGCAGUCCAAAAUGGGUGGUAAAUUUCAUCUAAAGCUAAAUACUGGCGAGAGACCGAUAGCGAACAAGUAUCCGUGAGGGAAAGAUGAAAAGAACUUUGAAAAGAGAGUUAAACAGUACGUGAAAUUGUCAAAAGGGAAGCGUUUGACACCAGUGUUGUUUUCUCGAAAAUCAAUUAAAAAAGGCAGGAUUUUGUGUUGUAUUGACUUUAUCAGCUUUCUGCACUCUUUUCUUGUCCUUUUUAAUGCACUUUUCGUUUAACAAGUCAACAUCAAUUUCUUUUGUUGUAAAAGGGUCAUUGGAAGGUGGCUUUCUUUUCGGAGAAAGUGUUUAUAGCCUUUGGCCUCUGCAAUCGGAGAGAUUGAGGUCUGCAGCGUAGAUCCUUCGGGGUUAGAUACAUUUGUGCUAAGUUAUAGCCUUUCAUAGACAACUUGUUGACUAUGAUCAGUCAUGUAGCUUACUCGCUUAUGCUAUUUUACCUACGCUUAGGAUGUUGAAGAUGUAGCACAUCAU